GAUGAACGCUGGCGGCGUGCCUAAUACAUGCAAGUCGAGCGAACAGACGAGGAGCUUGCUCCUCUGACGUUAGCGGCGGACGGGUGAGUAACACGUGGAUAACCUACCUAUAAGACUGGGAUAACUUCGGGAAACCGGAGCUAAUACCGGAUAAUAUAUUGAACCGCAUGGUUCAAUAGUGAAAGACGGUUUUGCUGUCACUUAUAGAUGGAUCCGCGCCGCAUUAGCUAGUUGGUAAGGUAACGGCUUACCAAGGCGACGAUGCGUAGCCGACCUGAGAGGGUGAUCGGCCACACUGGAACUGAGACACGGUCCAGACUCCUACGGGAGGCAGCAGUAGGGAAUCUUCCGCAAUGGGCGAAAGCUUGACGGAGCAACGCCGCGUGAGUGAUGAAGGUCUUCGGAUCGUAAAACUCUGUUAUUAGGGAAGAACAAAUGUGUAAGUAACUAUGCACGUCUUGACGGUACCUAAUCAAAAAGCCACGGCUAACUACGUG
Molecule: ribosomal RNA, 497 nt
Filed under: uncultured bacterium
Lineage: Bacteria
Description: partial 16S ribosomal RNA
Rfam family: Bacterial small subunit ribosomal RNA
Source: RNAcentral